GUCAACAAAAGAAAGAGUCUAUGUCUGCUCUCCUUACAGGAAUCUUUGCUCCUGAGAGUCAGAAGGCUGUGGAGAGGCUGUUGUACAAGCAACAGAGCAGUUCAUUGUGUCUUCACAGAUCUUUAAGACUUUUCAUCUCUCCACAUAUUUUUCUGGUGAUAAAGGAAGGGCUGCACUGCUCUUCCCAUCCAAUCUCCUCCCUGCUGUAGGAGACAUGGAAAGCUAAGAUAGGCAGGCCAUCCACACUCUGACUUCCCUUGCACCCAGAAGUAAGAAGUUUCCAUGCUGAGAGGUGGAGCUGAAGAAUCUCCCUUGAUAGUCUGUGAACCUGCAACCAUA
Non-coding RNA from Cyanistes caeruleus (blue tit), 339 nucleotides. Lineage: Eukaryota; Metazoa; Chordata; Aves; Passeriformes; Paridae. The record is from RefSeq and is a predicted model, not a curated record.